GUUCCAUCAUCUGAGAUAAACAUGUGCUGCUCAUAACCUCAAUUUUUAUGGCUGUAAAAACAAAAAUUAAGAUGUCACUUUGUUGACUAAGAAGACAUCACAAUGCAACACCAUUUGUACCUCCUGAUGAGAGUGAAGGUAGUUUGGUGGAUAACUCGGAUGGCAACCCAGAUUACACCCUUGACCACGACAGAAGGAACAAAAUAUCCUUAUUUGGUGAUAACUGAAUUCUGCUUUUUAUUUCUACAAUGUAAUUUACCUAAAUUAAACUAUGAUAGUUGGACAUUUACAGUAAAGUUAUAAUAACUUGUUACCUAAUAUCAUCAAAGAUGAAAUGACUGGGGCUAUAUCUUAUAUAACAGUCAUUAUAAAUGUGUGAUGUUUGAAUAAAACAAGGUAGCAGUGA
Schistocerca piceifrons (Central American locust) is the source of this 406-nucleotide long non-coding RNA. RefSeq lists it as uncharacterized. Lineage: Eukaryota; Metazoa; Arthropoda; Insecta; Orthoptera; Acrididae. The transcript has 2 exons. The record is from RefSeq and is a predicted model, not a curated record.